Molecule: ribosomal RNA, 472 nt
Filed under: uncultured bacterium
Lineage: Bacteria
Description: partial 16S ribosomal RNA
Rfam family: Bacterial small subunit ribosomal RNA
Source: RNAcentral
UCCGCCCGCUGGCGGCGUGCUUAACACAUGCAAGUCGAACGCUGAAGCUUGGUGCUUGCACUGGGUGGAUGAGUGGCGAACGGGUGAGUAAUACGUGAGUAACCUGCCCUUGACUCUGGGAUAAGCCUGGGAAACUGGGUCUAAUACUGGAUACGACAUGCCACUGCAUGGUGGUGUGUGGAAAGGGUUUUACUGGUUUUGGAUGGGCUCACGGCCUAUCAGCUUGUUGGUGGGGUAAUGGCCUACCAAGGCGACGACGGGUAGCCGGCCUGAGAGGGUGACCGGCCACACUGGGACUGAGACACGGCCCAGACUCCUACGGGAGGCAGCAGUGGGGAAUAUUGCACAAUGGGCGGAAGCCUGAUGCAGCGACGCCGCGUGAGGGAUGACGGCCUUCGGGUUGUAAACCUCUUUCAGCACGGAAGAAGCGAGAGUGACGGUACGUGCAGAAGAAGCGCCGGCUAACUACGUG